This 553-nucleotide ribosomal RNA is filed under the name uncultured archaeon. RNAcentral's name for it is "bacterial SSU rRNA". It matches the Rfam family "Archaeal small subunit ribosomal RNA", at positions 325 to 879 of the family's 1478-position model. The record is from RNAcentral.
ACGGGGCGCAGCAGGCGCGAAAACUUUGCAAUGCACGAAAGUGUGACAAGGGAACUCCAAGUGCUUAUACAAUGUAUAGGCUUUUGCUAAAUGUAAAUAGUUUGGCGAAUAAGUGGUGGGUAAGACGGGUGCCAGCAGCCGCGGUAACACCUGCGCCACGAGUGGCAGCCGAUAUUAUUUGGCCUAAAGCGUCCGUAGCUGGUUUGGAAAAUCUCUUGUGAAAGUGUCAGGCUCAACCUGACGAAUGGCAGGAGACACUCCCAAACUCGGAACCGGUAGGAGUCAGAAGUAUGCUAGGGGUAACGGUAAAAUGUUAUAAUCCCUAGUAGACUACCUGUGGCGAAGGCGUCUGACUAGGACGGAUUCGACAGUGAGGGACGAAAGCUAGGGGAGCGAUCCGGAUUAGAUACCCGAGUAGUCCUAGCUGUAAACACUGCGAGCAAGGUGUUGCAUAUUCCUCGGGAAUGUGCAGUAUCGAAGAGAAGUCGUUAAGCUCGCCGCCUGGGAAGUAUGGUCGCAAGACUGAAACUUAAAGGAAUUGGCGGGGGAGCAC